AAGGUUGUUCCCAUGUAAAUACGAAUGCAGAUUGGGUUGGGCCUAGUCAGGGUCUUGCACUUGGAAAUGCCAGUCCUAGUUGGGUUGCCCCGAUUGGGAAUCCAGGCAUGUGGGGAAGUGAGCAAAGUCAUAAUGGAGAUAGGUUCCCCAACCAAGGGGAUUGUAGACAUUCUGGUUAUUCUGGUAAAUCUCGGAACAAG
This 200-nucleotide long non-coding RNA is filed under the name Glycine max (soybean). RNAcentral's name for it is "long non-coding RNA (GMAX_LNC002459)". The record is from RNAcentral. Lineage: Eukaryota; Viridiplantae; Streptophyta; Magnoliopsida; Fabales; Fabaceae.